CAGUCGAACGGGAUCUUCGGAUUCUAGUGGCGGACGGGUGAGUAACGCGUAAGAAUCUAACUUCAGGACGGGGACAACAGUUGGAAACGACUGCUAAUACCCGAUGUGCCGCAAGGUGAAAUCUAAUUGGCCUGGAGAAGAGCUUGCGUCUGAUUAGCUAGUUGGUGGGGUAAGAGCCUACCAAGGCGACGAUCAGUAGCUGGUCUGAGAGGAUGAGCAGCCACACUGGGACUGAGACACGGCCCAGACUCCUACGGGAGGCAGCAGUGGGGAAUUUUCCGCAAUGGGCGAAAGCCUGACGGAGCAACGCCGCGUGAGGGAGGAAGGUCUUUGGAUUGUAAACCUCUUUUCUCAAGGAAGAAGUUCUGACGGUACUUGAGGAAUCAGCCUCGGCUAACUCCGUGCCAGCAGCCGCGGUAAUACGGGGGAGGCAAGCGUUAUCCGGAAUUAUUGGGCGUAAAGCGUCCGCAGGUGGUCAGCCAAGUCUGCCGUCAAAUCAGGUUGCUUAACGACCUAAAGGCGGUGGAAACUGGCAGACUAGAGAGCAGUAGGGGUAGCAGGAAUUCCCAGUGUAGCGGUGAAAUGCGUAGAGAUUGGGAAGAACAUCGGUGGCGAAAGCGUGCUACUGGGCUGUAUCUGACACUCAGGGACGAAAGCUAGGGGAGCGAAAGGGAUUAGAUACCCCUGUAGUCCUAGCCGUAAACGAUGGAUACUAGGCGUGGCUUGUAUCGACCCGAGCCGUGCCGAAGCUAACGCGUUAAGUAUCCCGCCUGGGGAGUACGCACGCAAGUGUGAAACUCAAAGGAAUUGACGG
RNAcentral lists this ribosomal RNA (814 nucleotides) under uncultured bacterium. RNAcentral's name for it is "bacterial SSU rRNA". It matches the Rfam family "Bacterial small subunit ribosomal RNA", at positions 59 to 916 of the family's 1533-position model. The record is from RNAcentral.